Pipistrellus kuhlii (Kuhl's pipistrelle) is the source of this 6810-nucleotide RNA transcript. It is a transcript of the gene named vestigial like family member 3, with no coding region annotated. Lineage: Eukaryota; Metazoa; Chordata; Mammalia; Chiroptera; Vespertilionidae. The record is from RefSeq and is a predicted model, not a curated record. The transcript is spliced from 5 exons.
CCCGUCCCGGGGCCCGGAGGCGGAGAGGCUGCAAACUCCGCUCCAAUCCGCAGCCGGCCCUUCCGAGGUCCCCCCGCCAGUGACCCGCCCGCGGACAGAGUUGGAGGAACUUUUCAGGCGCUCAGCGCCCCAGUCCAGGGAGGACGAGCGCUCCCCCCGCCCCAGCACCCCCACUCUCUCCACCCCUGCCCCCCAGCCCGGAGGGCAGGGACAGGGCAGCCGGCCCCCGCACAUCGCGUGUCUGCAAACCGGAGCCGCGCCGCCCGGGCUAAGGGCUGCAGCGGGCGCUGCCUGGGAGCCGCUGCCCUCCCGGACCCGCGCUGCCAUGCCCCCGCUGGGUGCCCGGGCCGCUGUGUGAGCGCGGGCGAGGGGACCUGCGCGGGGGCUGAAGAUGAAGGUGCCCGCGCACGGGCUCCCGCUCACCGCCCAGCCCUGCCCAGCCCGCGCCCCGCACGGAGCCCUCGGCCGCGGGGGACCCGCCUGCGCCGCCGCCGCAGCAGCAGCUGCAGCUGGAGCAGCGACAGAGGCGGCGGCGGCUGCGCCCGCGGAGCGAGCGCCCCGAUCGGCGGCGGCGGUGGCGGCGGCGGCAGCUCAGGGACCGCCGCUGCCCCGGCUGCCAUGAGUUGUGCGGAGGUGAUGUAUCACCCCCAGCCGUAUGGAGCGCCCCAGUGUCUGCCCAACCCAGUGGCAGCCGCAACCUGCCCCACAGCCUGCUACCACCCGUCGCCCCAACCUGGCCAGCAGAAAAAGUUAGCGGUAUACAGCAAGAUGCAGGACUCUCUGGAAGUCACCCUUCCCAGCAAACAAGAGGAGGAGGAGGAGGAGGAGGAUGAGGAGGAGGAGGAGGAGAAAGACCAGCCUGCCGAGAUGGAGUACCUUAACUCUCGCUGUGUCCUUUUCACUUAUUUCCAGGGAGACAUUGGGUCAGUAGUGGAUGAACACUUCUCAAGAGCUUUGGGCCAAGCCAGCACCCUCCAUCCAGAAUCUGCCAUUACAAAAAGCAAGAUGGGGCUAACCCCCCUAUGGCGAGACAGCUCAGCUCUCGCAAGUCAGAGGAGUAGCUUCCCAACUUCCUUUUGGACCAGCUCUUACCAGCCCCCUGCACCCUGCUUGGGGGGAGUUCACCCUGACUUCCAGGUCACUGCGCCCCCUGGCACCUUUAGUGCAGCCGACCCCAGUCCCUGGCCAGGACACAGCCUGCACCAGACUGGCCCAGCCCCUCCCCCUCCUGUGUCUGAGUCCUGGCACUACCCUUUGGCAUCUCAGGUGAGCCCGUCCUACAGCCACAUGCAUGAUGUGUACUUGCGGCACCACCACCCCCAUGCUCACAUGCACCACCGGCACCACCAUCACCACCACCACCACCACCACCCUUCUGCUGGCUCCGCCCUGGAUUCGUCCUACCGGCCCCUGCUGAUGCCAUCAGUGCGAGCAGCCAGGAUUUCUGCUCCCCAGUGUGACAUCACAAAGACAGACCCAACCACAGUCAGCACUGCUACCUCAGCGUGGGCUGGAGCCUUCCAUGGAACUGUGGACAUAGUGCCAAGCGUGGGGUUUGAUGCAGAAAAAGGCUAACAUGAUUUUGAAGGAGUCGUAUGUCUUGGCAAAGCAAACUAGGGAUUGCCUUUAUUUAAGGGGGAAAAUAGACACUCAAACCACUUGAUGAUUCCAACACUAUUCAUGACUUGCGGUGCUGACAUUCUAUAGAUUGAUGGCGUCUUCAAGUGUGGAAAUACUGAGUCAUACAGAAGAUGAGACGUUUUAAUAAUGAAAAAAAAUAUUUAGCAGUCAGCAGAUUGUCAGUUAAGGUGGUUUCGAUUAUAAGAGUCACCCAACAGAGACUAGGGUCUACAGCACCAAGACAAGAGCAAGGAAUCACCAUGGUACUGAAAUGCAUGGUAUUAAUAAGUCCAAUUGGAGCUUGAGUCCUCGGGCCCACUGGGAAUAGAUGCUUCUAGGAUUUUCCACUCUGCGAUUGGACACAAUAGACAUGGAGGAGAAGAGGAGUGCCAGCCAGCUGACUUUGCAUUGGAGCCUUUUAUCGAGAAAGCACAGUGGGUCCUAGACAAUGAAGAAAAGCAUUUUUGUUUAUUUUCCCCCUCAUCUGAGCCUUUGCCAACUGUGCAACUCUUUUUUUUUUUCUUUUUUCAGUCUUGCUUUUAUCUCAAUACAUGGUUUAAUUUUUGUUUCAUUUUGAUUUCCUUUUUAGCCAACCACCUUGUCAGGAAAAGAUGAAUCACAAAUGAAUAUGCUCAUUCUUUCAGGAAUAAAAUUUUAUAGCUCUAUGUGUAUCUAUUUUUGUAGAAAUACAGAAAGUUUGAUUUAGCAUUGAUGGGCUAUUUUUGAGGGAUGUAUUUUUUUUAAUAUUGUAAAAAAUCAUUAAGUUCUGUUUAAAGAACUUGCUCUUAGAGAAGCACUGGCAAAAAAAAAAUGUUUAAAAUGCUUGUCUUUUAAGAUGUCUGUGAUAUGCUCUGUGCUUUCUAGGUUACCUCAAGUGUUUGAUAGUUUACCCCUUUUUACAGAAGUAGCACCAUAGCCAAGCCAAUAUAGUGUUGCAUUACAUUAAAUCUCAGUGAAGAUUGAAUUCCGUGCUACCUUACUUUGCUUUGAGUAAUAUGUAUAGCUUGAAAAGGAAGUUUUUUAAUGAACACACUAGAGAAAGAAUAUUUGAUUACUUUGAUUUCUCCCAAUGAGUACUUGUAGGUUGAUUUAAAAAGUUUUGCAUAAACCUGCAAUCAAAUGAAGAAUUUGCAUAGAAUAUGUAAUUCUCUUUGUAGUCCAUCUGAGUUUGAUAAGUGGAAUCUGAGGUGAUAUCCAACUACUGGAAACAAAUUGCAUUUAACCGUGCUACCUUUGAGUGCCAGUUACUUAUUUUUCUCAUUCAUGGCAAUUUUUAAGGUCAUAUUUUAAGUGGAGUUCUUUUCCUUGACAUAGUUUGAAGAGAUACUCUUUGGGAAAUUACAAGACAUAUUACAAAGCCUUUAAUUCCAUGACUCUUUCUGAUCAUGUUACCUAUCAUUGUGAAUUGAAAACUAAUAUAGUGCAUGUGCAAUAUUUUAAACAUAGGAUUUUGCGAGUUUUUUGUUUUUAAUCUGAGUUUAGGUGAUUUAAUUCUUUAUAAGAAAGACACUUAGAGAAAAAUGAAAUUUUAGUUUGAAUUUAUACCACAAUUACUGAAAUUGGAUUAAGAAUUUGACAAUUUGUUAUUUAAAAUUUAUUUUUGGAAACCCCAAUUCAAGUUGACUGACCAUCAUAAUGUAAAUAAGGUAAAGCUGGAAUUAUUAAGAGCCUUUUAGAAAAAUAUUAUGAAAGUAGCAGUUAAUGAUAGUUAAAGGACUUUUAAUGCAAAGUCCAUUCUUUUUUCUGGGUCUUUUCAGAAAUGGGUCAUGUUAAAAAGUUAAUGUUAUAGAGAAGUUUUUUUGUUUGGUAAAACAAUUUCUCAAAUUUUUUCCAUCCCUCUCUUCACCCAUAUGGAAUACAAUGUUUAGUGAAAGACCAUUUUUCAUCAUAAAUUGUGUAUAUUAUGUAUGUGAACAUUUUAGAUAUAAGAAUAAGAAACCUCUACUUAGCUAGGCAGAGUUCUCACAGGUAAUUCUCAAAUAUGUUCCUUACCUGUAUUUCAUGUAUUAAUUUUCUUGUCUGGAGCAUCUCAUGAGGAAUAGGCUGUCUUGUGGUAUUCUUAUCACUCCAUACAUUGCUUCUUCUUAGCCAGACUCUCCUUAGCACAGUAUGCACAUUGUUACCUAAUUUGAGGCCCAAACUUAAGGUAUCUGCCACUUACUAAUGACAUGAACUUAUAUUUUUAGGGCCUGGCUCAGGUAAAUGAUCUACAUUUUGAUUUAUAAUUUGAUGUAUUACAGUAAGUAAUUUUGCCAAAGUCUGUGGAGCACAGAAUUGAAUGUAUCGAUAAAAUUGGUUUCAUUUGUAUCCUCCUGAGUUUUCAAAGACAAGUAUUUGGUAUUCCCAUGGGAAGACUCACUGGGGAUUAUUUAUUUUUCUCUUCUUCCCUUGGACCUAUUAACUUCCUUUUCAGUGUCUCUGAGAAUGGUAUAGUGCAUCAAGCCAUUUAAAUCGUUCAAUUGGAUUUUUCCAGUUAAGAGAAGAAAAGUGUUAACCCUCUGCUCUUUUCCUUAUUCUCCGCUGAAUUGAAUUGAAGGAGAGAGAGCAAUUAGAUAGCUUCACUCUAAAUUGAGACUGUGUUCUGUGUCACUCCUGGCAACUAUAGGAUAAAAUAUUUCUUGGUUCUGGGGGCCUAAGAAAAGUUAGGGACCUAAAUUCUGCUGUAUACAGGAAAGAUUUGUAAGUGAGAAAGGGCUUAGGUGUUGUUGGAACAGCAAGUGUUAGAUUUUUGCAUAUGCAAGGAGUGGACCCAGUCUACGUGAAAAGAGAAUGAGUGCAUGUCUAUAAUUGUCUGGCACCCCUUACUAUGAUGACAUUAUCAUUACCAGCAGAGGUUAUAAAAAGGGAUCAGUUGUAAUUUAGCACAGUGUUCUGAAUUUAUUUUAGGUUUAAAAUGCUAGCACACUCUGGGUCUGGUUUGCUAACAUCAAAAUGAUUUGGUUGAACUUCCAAACUGCUUUACUGAGGGCUGCCCCCUCCCUCCUCAACUUCACAUGGAACCACUCUAUCUUUGACUAUUUUACAAAUUAUUCAAGUUUUCUAAAGAUCUGUGAGCUAGCCCCUAGAAAAUGACCUGAUUUAGUUGGCAUCUAAUCUAUGCUUCCACCUAAACUAUCAUGAGCUAAGAAACAACCUAAUAGUGACAAGUCGAUCCUAACUGGUUAUUGGCCCCUCAUUGUUUAUUUGAAAAGAGUACUAAACUUCAAAAAAAACAACAACAGUGUUUCUUCUUAAGAAGGUUAACCAUCCACUCCUAUUUUCUCUUAUUUCUCUUUCCUCUUAAAAUUACCUUACAAUAUUAUUUUAAGCAAAAGUGGCCGCUAUUAUUUUGAAUUUUGCGAAUGAGAACUAGUGGAUGACAAAUUAGGAGUUGAAGAAUUAAUUUCUUUAACUUCAUAAGAAACUUUAAAAACAACACAUUCCAGGUACUAGCUUAAAAUGUGUUGUUAAGAAAUUCAUUAUUCAUUAUGCACAUAGUAUUUGCCCAUUCCUACUCUAAGUGAGACCUAUAGAAUACAUGACAGAACCCAUCUCACUUUUACAUUUACUCUCUGGUUUAAUAUUACAUUUGUAAUUUAAAGGGGCAAUCAGAAACUGUAUUUCAAGGAACUGCAUUAUAUUUCUUACUGAGCAUCCCUUUGUUAGAUAAUAUAUGCUGAAUUAAGUCAAUGGGACAGUGGCAUUAACUGGUAGAAAAGGAAAGAAUCUAUGUUAGAGUUCUAAUGAGGAUAUUAAUUGAAAAGUAGAACGAAUUAAUGGAAAAGAGCAUUGUGUUGGGCAUUAAGUUAUUCUCUGACUUCUGGCUUAGCCACAAUUAUAUAGAUGUGAUUUGGGGAUUUAUUUAUUUAUCUCAUGAAUAAAUGGGAUAAUAAUACCUACUGGCAGGCUGUGAAGGGUGAAAAUCAUACAUAUGUAUAUAAAAUCCAUCAUCAGGUCAUAGUAAUGUUUAAUAAAUAACAGCUACCAUACAUGUCUAUCAGUUGAGUGAGUAGGUCAUAAAACUGAGUUCCCAAAUGUCCUCUCUCUUUACUUCCUAUAGCCAUCUCUGUAGCAGUAGAUAUAUCAUCAUGCUUUUCCAUAACAAAUUAAUGCAAAAGAAUCUUUGCCUUCUACUAGGUGUUGAAGAUAAAAUGUAAAAUUCUUAGUUAUCCCUAUUAUUGGAGUGUACCAUUUAUGAAGGAAAAUAACCUCUCAAUGGUAUCUCUGUUCAACUCUGAGUUUUCUUAUAUAUUCCAAAAUUGGAUUCAUCCAGGACCCUGUGUAUUUUCUUCUCCAAAAUUAAGGCAACAGGUUUAUUAAAUCACCAACGUUAAUAUUUUUCAGUUAUAUUUGGGGCUUCCUUAGUACCUGGAAUAAAAACAUCUUUUUUGACAUUAUUCAUUUUUUUUCCCUUCUUGCCAUGGAGGAAAAACUGCAAGAUAUGGUGGAAAAAAAUGGUCUGCAUGUAAAAGGGAGAAAAAAAUAAAAUGCAGAACACUUUAAGAUCUCAGUCAGCAGAUUUACUCUGCUUGAGAAAAAAAGAAACAACUUUAUUGGAAGCAGCUGUUGACACUGUGUCGGUUAUUGAAGAUGGAAAGAGUUCAGUUGAACCAUCGCAGUUACAAAGGGGUAUUGAUGGCAGUUAGAAUUCCUGUGAUUGAUCACCUUCACCACAGACAGAAGGACAGCAGAAAGCAGAAACUUUGAGACUGAGACUGAAAUCAGCCUGCCAAUUUUAAUAGGCAGCGCCCAAGGAUGCAGUUUUGUUUUGUUUUAUUCUUUUAUCUAGAAUAAAAAACACAUCCUUGAGAAAAUGUAAGCCUUGUUUGAGAGAGAAAUAAAAAUGUAUUUCCUAAAAUCAUGGCCCAAGAACCCUUUAAAUCUAGUAUUAAUGCAUUAAAACUAUUAUUAAAGUUGUUUUAGAAAAGUUAGGUUAAAGUUUUUGUUCAAUGAUGUAUAUUGUAGGUGAAUCUCAAAAUGAUACAAAGGUGGAUGACUCUGAGAUUAGGGUACCUGUGGGCCUGCAAGGAGAGAGACCUCAGUCUCAAUAGCCACAACACGUCAUCUUAGUAAUGUGGUCACAGAACAGACUUUCAGAAUUUUCCUGUAGGCUUUCCUUUCUUUUAGUGCUCUCUGGGAAUAUCUCCAUGUACACUUUUCCAAAGUAUAGAAAUAGUCAUUAUUAUUCAACUAUCAUACUUUUCUUAUUUC